GCACCAGUGGUGUAUGGUACACGCGCCGUCCAUGUGUGCAUGCUGUGAUGGCUUUGAUCGGCGAGACGGGGUUCGAUUCCUCGCUGGUGCA
This is a non-coding RNA of Mycena epipterygia, 91 nucleotides long. The record is from the annotation of a GenBank genome assembly. NCBI's taxonomy places the organism in Eukaryota, Fungi, Basidiomycota, Agaricomycetes, Agaricales, Mycenaceae.